UGAUAGGUUUAUGGCGGAUGCCUGUAGGAGCUGUGAGGCGAAGAAGGUCGUGACAAGCUGCGAAAAGCCCGGGGGAGGAGCACAUAUCCCGUGAUCCCGGGAUAACCGAAUGGGGUAACCCAACAGGAGUGAUCCUGUUACUGCGAUAGUCGAAUAAAAUAGGCUGCCAGGGCGACACUGUGUGAAGUGAACCAUCUAAGUAACACGGGAAAAGAAAUCAAGAAGGGGCGCGAGCUCCCAGAGAUUCCGAAAGUAGCGGCGAGCGAAAUCGGAAAAGCCCAAACCGCAUUUAUGCGGGGUUGUAGGGCCGCAUGGGGGUGUCCCGAAGAGUUUUGAGAAAACACACGCAUAGCAGAAGGAUGUGGAAAAAUCCGCCAGAGCAGGUGAAAGCCCUGUACGCGAAAUGGGUGUGUCUCUUUGAUGCGGUACCUGAGUACGGCGGGGCACGGGAAACCCUGUCGGAAUCUGGGUCGACCACGAUCCAAGGCUAAAUACUCCACAGCUACCGAUAGCGAACUAGUACCGUGAGGGAAAGGUGAAAAGAACCCCUGAAGGGGAGUGAAAUAGAACCUGAAACCAUAAACCGACAAAAUGUCACGGGUCUAUAUGACUUGUGGCGUGCCUUUUGUAGAAUGAGCCUGCGAGUUACGCUGUGUUGCGAGGUUAAGGGAUGGUAGUCCCGGAGCCGUAGGGAAACCGAGUCUGAUAAGGGCGAGCAGUAGCAUGGCGUAGACCCGAAGCCAAGGUGAUCUAGUCAUGAGCAGGUUGAAGCAUAGGUAAAGCUAUGUGGAGGACCGAACUAUAAUCUGUUAAAAAAGGUAUGGAUGACUUGUGACUCGGAGUGAAAGGCUAAACAAACCUGGAAAUAGCUGGCUCUCCCCGAAAUGCCUUUAGGGACAGCCUUAUACAAAACUUGCGGAGGUAAAGCACUGGAUGGACUAGGGGGUGUCACUGCCUGCCAAACCCAAUCAAACUCUGAAUGCCACAGGUCAACGUAUAGGAGUGAGACUGCGUGCGAUAAGGUUCGUGGUCAAGAGGGGAACAGCCCAGACCAACAACUAAGGUCCCGAAAUGCCGCUCAGUGUGAAAUGAAGUGUAGAUGCAAAGACAGCCAGGAGGUUGGCUUAGAAGCAGCCAUUCUUAAAAGAGUGCGUAAUAGCUCACUGGUCGAGCAUUUAUGCGCAGACAAUGUAACGGGGCUAAGCGGCAUACCGAAGUUUUGGGUCAGCUGCUUUAUGCGGCUGGCGGUAGGGGAGCAUUCCAUUAACCAGCGAAGGAAUAUCCGCGAGGAGUUCUGAAGGAAAUGGAAGAGAGAAUGCAGGUAUAAGUAACGAAAAGACGGGCGAGAUCCCCGUCCGCCUGAAACCUAAGGUUUCCUGGGUAAAGGCAAUCUGCCCAGGGUAAGUCGGCCCCUAAGGCGAGGGCGAAAGCCGUAGUCGAUGGGAAACUGGUUAAUAUUCCAGUACCUCUGUCAGUUUCGAGGGCAAGACGCAUGAGGUGAAACCCGGCCGGACAACGGUUGUUCCGGUCGAAACAGCGAACUUUUGAGGGAGACAGGCAAAUCCAUCUCCUGAGGCGAGCUGCGACAGCGAGCGGAGAGAAAGUCGAAGCGAAGCGGGCGUAAUCAAGGUGCCGGGAAAUACUGUCUAAGGCUAGGCUGGCAGGGACCGUACCGGAAACCGACACAGGUAGGUAGGAUGAGAAAUCUAAGGCGCACGAGAGAACUCGCGUUAAGGAACUCGGCAAAAUGCACACGUAACUUCGGAAGAAGUGUGGCCCCUGGUUGAAUGUCAGGGGUGGCACAGAGCAGGCCCAGGCGACUGUUUAUCAAAAACACAGCCAUCUGCAUAAUCAGCAAUGAGACGUAUAGGUGGUGACACCUGCCCGGUGCCGGAAGGUUAAGAGGAGCGGUUAGCGGAGACGCGAGGCUGUGAAUUGAAGCCCCGGUAAACGGCGGCCGUAACUAUAACGGUCCUAAGGUAGCGAAAUUCCUUGUCGGGUAAGUUCCGACCCGCACGAAUGGUGUAACGAUUCUGGGCGCUGUCUCAACGCGAGACUCGGUGAAAUUUAUAUACCGGUAAAGAAGCCGGUUACCCGCAGUUAGACGGAAAGACCCCGUGAACCUUCACCGUAACUUACUAUUGGGAUUUUAUUUAUCAUGUGUAGGAUAGGCGGGAGGCUUUGAAGCGCGAGCGUCAGCUUGCGUGGAGCCAUCGGUGAAAUACCGCUCUUGAUGAAUGGGAUUUCUAACUCGUGCCGUGAAACCGGCACGUGGACAAUGGUAGGCAGGCGGUUUGACUGGGGCGGUCGCCUCCUAAAAUGUAACGGAGGUGCGCGAAGGUCUCCUCACGCCGGUUGGAAAUCGGCGCGCGAGUGUAAAGGCACAAGGGGGCUUGACUGCGAGACUGACAGGUCGAGCAGGUACGAAAGUAGGUCUUAGUGAUCUGGCGGUAGCGAGUGGAAGCGCCGUCACUUAACGGAUAAAAGGUACUCCGGGGAUAACAGGCUGAUCUUCCCCAAGAGUUCAUAUCGACGGGAAGGUUUGGCACCUCGAUGUCGGCUCAUCGCAUCCUGGGGCUGAAGCAGGUCCCAAGGGUUUGGCUGUUCGCCAAUUAAAGCGGUACGUGAGCUGGGUUCAGAACGUCGCGAGACAGUUCGGUCCCUAUCUGCUGUGGGCGUUGGAUGAUUGAGGGGGGCUGCUUUUAGUACGAGAGGACCGAAGUGGACUGACCUCUGGUGUACCGGUUAUCCUGCCAAGGGUAAGUGCCGGGUAGCUACGUCAGGAAGGGAUAACCGCUGAAAGCAUCUAAGCGGGAAGCCCGCCCCAAGAUGAGUCAUCCCUGAGGGUUUAACCCUCCUGAAGAAUCCGGACAGACUAUCCGGUCGAUAGGCUGCAGGUAUAAGUGCGGUAACGCAUUCAGCCGAGCAGUACUAAUAAGUCGUGAGGCUUGACC
This 2954-nucleotide ribosomal RNA is filed under the name Treponema endosymbiont of Eucomonympha sp. RNAcentral's name for it is "bacterial LSU rRNA". It matches the Rfam family "Bacterial large subunit ribosomal RNA". Lineage: Bacteria; Pseudomonadati; Spirochaetota; Spirochaetia; Treponematales; Treponemataceae. The record is from RNAcentral.